UUCUUUUAUUCAUGUUAUGUUUCAGAUAUCAAUGAGACACUCAGCCAGAGUUGUCUGAUAGGAAGUUGAUAAGGCAAGCAUAAGACAAGCUCAGAAGAGAGACUGGGAUUGGAUAUAUAGAACUAGAAAUUAUCCACCUAAUGAUAAUAAUCGAAUGUAUGCCACGUCAGGACAAGGGCUACUUGCUUUGUUGUUGUUACCUAUCCUGCCUUAUAAUCUUUCACAGAUGUUUGAAAGGAUUUGGGAAAAUCGGGACACUAAUGCAUUGUUGGUAUGGUUGGGAACUUAUCCAACCAUUUUGGAGAGCAAUUUGGAACUAUACCCAAAGGACUUUGAGAUUCUGCAUACCCUUUGGUCCAGUAAUAUCAUUACUUGAUCUAUAUCCAAAAGAGAUGAAAAAAGAGGAAAGAAUCUCUUCAUACAAGAAUGUUUAUAGCAAUUCUUUGUGCAUUGGCAAAUAAUUUGUAAUUAAAGGGAGGCCCAUUAUUGAGGGAAUGACUGAAUGAGUUUCUGGUAUAUGAUUGUAAUGGAAUAUUAUUGUGCUAUAAGAUAUGAUGAGAAGAAAGAUUUCGGAAAAUCCUAGAAGGACUUACAUGAAUUCAUGUAAAGUGAAAUGAGCAGAAUCAGUAGAAUAUUGUACAUAGUAACAGCAAUAAUAUGAGAUAAACAUUUAUAAAUGACUUAGCUAUUCCCAGAAAUUCAGUGAUUGAAGGUAAUACUCAACCAUUUGCCUCUAGAGAAAGAAUUGAUGAAAUAUGAAUGCAGACUGAGAAACACUAUAUUUCACUUUAUUUCUUCCUUUAUUCUUUUGUUUAAGUCCUAUUUCACAAAAUUUACAAAUUUAAAAAGACAUUUUACACUAUUAAACUUGUAAAAUAUAUAUCAGGCUGCAUACAAUCUCAAGAAUGGUAGAGAAAGGAAGGGUACAAAUCUGGCUCAAACUUUAAAAAGUGUAACUUAAGACUUUUUUCAUGUCAUUGAGGAAAAAAU
RNAcentral lists this long non-coding RNA (990 nucleotides) under Monodelphis domestica (gray short-tailed opossum). Its description in RNAcentral is "lncRNA (ENSMODG00000047068.1)". The record is from RNAcentral. Lineage: Eukaryota; Metazoa; Chordata; Mammalia; Didelphimorphia; Didelphidae.